Molecule: ribosomal RNA, 697 nt
Filed under: uncultured Bacteroidales bacterium
Lineage: Bacteria; Pseudomonadati; Bacteroidota; Bacteroidia; Bacteroidales
Description: bacterial SSU rRNA
Rfam family: Bacterial small subunit ribosomal RNA
Source: RNAcentral
AUUGGAAGCUUGCUUCCGAUGGGCGUCGACCGGCGCACGGGUGAGUAACGCGUAUCCAACCUGCCCACCACUUGGGGAUAACCUUGCGAAAGUAAGACUAAUACCCAAUGACGUCUCUAGAAGACAUCUGAAAGAGAUUAAAGAUUUAUCGGUGAUGGAUGGGGAUGCGUCUGAUUAGCUUGUUGGCGGGGUAACGGCCCACCAAGGCUACGAUCAGUAGGGGUUCUGAGAGGAAGGUCCCCCACAUUGGAACUGAGACACGGUCCAAACUCCUACGGGAGGCAGCAGUGAGGAAUAUUGGUCAAUGGACGAGAGUCUGAACCAGCCAAGUAGCGUGCAGGAUGACGGCCCUAUGGGUUGUAAACUGCUUUUAUAAGGGAAUAAAGUGAGUCUCGUGAGACUUUUUGCAUGUACCUUAUGAAUAAGGACCGGCUAAUUCCGUGCCAGCAGCCGCGGUAAUACGGAAGGUCCGGGCGUUAUCCGGAUUUAUUGGGUUUAAAGGGAGCGUAGGCCGGAGAUUAAGCGUGUUGUGAAAUGUAGACGCUCAACGUCUGCACUGCAGCGCGAACUGGUUUCCUUGAGUACGCACAAAGUGGGCGGAAUUCGUGGUGUAGCGGUGAAAUGCUUAGAUAUCACGAAGAACUCCGAUUGCGAAGGCAGCUCACUGGAGCGCAACUGACGCUGAAGCUCGAAAGUG